This 404-nucleotide ribosomal RNA is filed under the name uncultured Corynebacterium sp. RNAcentral's name for it is "bacterial SSU rRNA". It matches the Rfam family "Bacterial small subunit ribosomal RNA", at positions 355 to 774 of the family's 1533-position model. Lineage: Bacteria; Bacillati; Actinomycetota; Actinomycetes; Mycobacteriales; Corynebacteriaceae. The record is from RNAcentral.
UGGGGAAUAUUGCACAAUGGGCGCAAGCCUGAUGCAGCGACGCCGCGUGGGGAUGACGGCCUUCGGGUUGUAAACUCCUUUCGCUAGGACGAAGCUUUUGUGACGGUACCUAGAUAAGAAGCACCGGCUAACUACGUGCCAGCAGCCGCGGUAAUACGUAGGGUGCGAGCGUUGUCCGGAUUACUGGGCGUAAAGGGCUCGUAGGGUGGUUUGUCGCGUCGUCUGUGAAAUUCCGGGCUUAACUCCGGGCGUGCAGGCGAUACGGGCAUAACUUGAGUACUGUAGGGGUAACUGGAAUUCCUGGUGUAGCGGUGAAAUGCGCAGAUAUCAGGAGGAACACCGAUGGCGAAGGCAGGUUACUGGGCAGUUACUGACGCUGAGGAGCGAAAGCAUGGUAGCGAACA